This 451-nucleotide long non-coding RNA is filed under the name Mytilus galloprovincialis (Mediterranean mussel). The record is from RNAcentral. Lineage: Eukaryota; Metazoa; Mollusca; Bivalvia; Mytilida; Mytilidae.
GGGGGGGGGGGGCUAGGAUGAAAUUUGAAAAAAAUAGGCAGGACAGGAGUUUUGAGUAAAAAAAAAAAGGCAGGAUGAGACACUUGCAAAACAAAAGUCAGGACGACAAUUUAGGUAAAAAAAAGUCUGGAUAACGAAAAAAAAAAAAGGCAGGACCGAACAGAGUGAAAAAUAAAAAGGCAGGACAGAGAUUACAGCUAAAAAAAAUGCAGGACAAAAUUUUCAUCCUAGCCCCCCCAUAAAAAUCAAAUGGUAGCUCCCUUAGUGCCUGUGGCUGUGUAUGUGCCACUCUAAUUAAAAAAAAAAUAUAUCAGCAUGACAACGUUAAAAAGUGAAAAUAUAAUGCAAAGGCAUAUAUUAUAGAACUAGUGAGGGUACCUCUGGGGUUGGGUUGGACCCCCCUUUUUUGUUGAUCAAUGCUUUUUAAUGAGGACAUAUGUUUGGAACCCGC